RNAcentral lists this long non-coding RNA (8964 nucleotides) under Sorghum bicolor (sorghum). Its description in RNAcentral is "long non-coding RNA (SBIC_LNC011442)". The stretch from base 1 to 217 matches the Rfam family "Plant small nucleolar RNA U3". The record is from RNAcentral. Lineage: Eukaryota; Viridiplantae; Streptophyta; Magnoliopsida; Poales; Poaceae.
CGACCUUACUUGAACAGGAUCUGUUCUAUAGGAUCGUACCGCUGCAUCCUUGACUAAUAAGGAGGCAAGCACUUAAGCCUGGUUGAUGAGUCAUGACCUGUGGGCCAGAGCGUGAUUAACGGCCAGGAUUGGCUUGAUGGCUGUAUCCAGUGCUGUAGAGGAUCGUUCCUGGCUAGGCCUGCUUAGCUUGGAUGGCCCAUGGGUUGUCUGACAGGCUCUUUUUUGUUUUUUUUGUUGUGCUGCAUUUGAAGACAAUUUGUGCAAAAUGUUAUCUUUGACAGCUGUCUUCUUGCUGAACAUUGCUCUCGAGUUAAAAGAGGCGGAUCUCUUGCUCGGUUUUGCCAUUAUUAAUAGAUUAUAAGCUUUCCUUUUCCUUUUUGCUGUGCUGCAUUCAAGGUAAUUGAUGUCAACAGCUGUCUUUUCCCUCAACAUUGAUUUCUUGCUCGUUUUUUUGUCAUUCAUACAGCAAGGAAGUUGUUCCUUUUGCUCUGCUGCAGCCUGCAUUUGAACAACUAUCUUUUCCCUCAACAGCUGCUCAACAUUGUUCUCAAUUUAAAAGGGGCAGAUCUCUUGCUCGUUUUUACCAUUAAUAGAGCAAGACUUGUUGUACAUUUUGUUUGUAAGUUGCUUCUUCAUCUCUGACUGUCCGCGAAUCUGCAUUAUUGUUGAGAAAUGGUGAUUCUUGGUGCUUGAUUUGUAAAAAGUUCACAGUUGUUUUAAUCUUUCUUUUUUGGUUCCAGGUACAAAUGAGUUACAUUAAAAAAACCAUACGUUUCAAAAAAAAAAAGAGUAAAACUGAGUCCCUGAACCUUGUGAGAGAUGUGCAUAAUACAGCCGUAUUCAGACUUCAGAGCAUGUCUGCACUCUGCAGUGCAAGUCUCAAUAUCUGCCAACUGCAAUGCAAAAGCUAUAGUCCUGCUGUUUACUUGGCCUUCAGCUCUGAGCAGCAACAACAUGCCUGUAUUAAAACCCUGCAUGCUUCUGUUUGUCACUGGCUGGCACAGGAUCCAUGGAGAAACCCAUGUGGGCUGCGGCCCAAUACAGAAUGCUAAUAAUCUACAUCUCUGUGAACUGAACCCUGACAAAACACUAGCUAAGAUGGUGCCACCUCGCAAACGCAAACAACUAUCAGCCAGCUUAUAAUGCUGAUCCUCGGCACUCACAGCACGACCUUACUUGAACAGGAUCUGUUCUAUAGGAUCGUACCGCUGCAUCCUUGACUAAUAAGGAGGCAAGCACUUAAGCUUGGUUGAUGACACAUGACUUGUGGGUCAGAGCGUGAUUAACGGUUAGGAUUGGAGCUGAGAUGCCUGAUCUGUGGCUGUAGAGGAUCGUUCCUGGUCAGACUUGGCUUGGCUGGGGUGGCUCACAGGUUGUCUGACAGGCUCACAUUUUUUUUCUCCUCUUUUGAAUCUGUUUUGCUAGGUAGACUUGGCAACUGGCAUGUGUAUGCUCAUCGAUAAAUACCACGAUUACUGCACAUAAGAAAGCACAUCGCUGCAUUUUUCCUAACGACACGUAUAUUGCCCUGAAAAUUCCACUACUUUGCUCCUCUUCUGAAUCUAUUUAGCAAGUUAGUGAUUAGUGAUUGUGUGGCAACUGGCAUGUGUAUGCGCAUCGAUAAUAAAUACCAUGAUUACUGCACAUAAGAAAGCACCUCGCUGCAUUUUGCUAAUGACACGUAUUUUGCCCUGAAAAUUCCAGUACUAUCCCAGUGGCCAGUGGCGCGCCCAGUGCCCAGCUUAACUAGAGGCUUCAUCGGCGGACACCUAACUGAACACUCAGACACAGCUUAUCCAUCCACUUAGCCGCAGACUGUUCCUGAAACUGAAAGCCUCCUUCCUGACGCCUUUUGCGAUGAAAUGAGUGUUGUAUGGCCGGUGUGGCGGUGCUGCAGCGGGGACAGAGCCUGAUGGAGCCAUAUGUCUCGCUGCAACUACAAGCAGAGCUAGGCUUUCGGUGUGGUACCCCAGCACCAGCACCAGCACGUAUCUAAUCAUCCCCCGAUGGAUCGGAUCCUUUUCGUGAUCUAUCUCUACUAGUCCCAAAAGCCGCCGUGUGCACAUGGCAAGGAUGGCACAAAGCCCCGGGCCAACUCGCCGUGUCUCCUGCUGGAGGAUUCCUCUGACACCGGCCAUGGCUUGGCUCCACACACACACAGAUCCUUUGCAAGUCUCAAACCCAAUUGCGUGCAAGAUGCAGCGCGCUCGCCUCUGAAAACAAGACUGGAGGCAGUAGGAUCUUAUGAGCAGCCCUUUGACUAUCUGAGAUGAAUGAUUGAGUCCGGUUGAAUUCACAGUUCUUCAGACCUGCAGCUUCAGCAGCAGCUAAUAGUAACGUGAUCACUCGCUGAAGUCCUGCCAAUGCUCGCAUGGCCAUGGCCUACAUGGUUGGUAGAUGCGCGUGUUAGUUUGCACCCUCAGACGACGAGACGACAGACUCCUCCAUGUUCUGUCUUGUGUCCUCCAAGUCCCAAUGUCGCAGGAAAAUGGCGGCAACACGGUUCAGGUCAAGGAGCAAUUGGCGGCCAAGGAAGCAAACCUCACUCUCUCGCUCUUCUGACUUUUUCCUUUCAUUCACGUACAGUACAGCUCUGAACGUUGCGCCGCAAAUCUUGGAGCUGCUCGAAUACACAGCGAUGUGUUGCUUCUCCUUUUGUCAACCGGCACUUAUGAUCCAGCUCCACAGAAACGCACGGAUUCGAAAUUUCGAAUCAAACAUGAUCGCACCAAGCAUCAUGCAUUCGACUAUAUUCGAGUUCGACGAGGAAUGAUUGAUGUCGAAACCUCCAACAACUGCCCUACAAAAAUUGCACGAAAACCACCUAGUACGUAGUAGUAGUAGCUAGUAGCUAGCUCGCUCUAGUCGAACUUGACCACUCAUUCAGUGUAGGCCGGAUCAGAGAGUCUGUUCAUUUGAGUUUUGAUCGAAUCUAUCAAUUAUUUAUUAUUAGUUUUUUUCUCUCAGAAUUAAUCAGCGAAUAUUACUUUUAACCAUAGCUUUUCACACAAGCGAACAAACUCUCUAGUACAAUAAAAGGAGAUGGCCAGCAGCUGGACAGCGGUCAUUAUAUUAGAAACUGGUCUCAGAUGUUCAUAUCGUCCACGCUAUGGCUGGUCCCUAAUACUAAGGCUUUGCAGUAUGCACCAGCAUGGUCUCCACCUCCAGUCAUCCACUGCAUUUGCCGGCGACGACGGGCAAUGCUGCACCUUCAAGGGAGAGAGCAUGCAGCUGACGUAAUGGGAGCGUCAGCGUGGAAGAACGAACGACGAAUGCACUCACGAACACUGCAAUCAUGCAAUGCAAUCUAGAGAAGACUCCAACUACAGCUUGCAAUUAGGCAAAUCAGCUAGAAAAAGUAUAUUCAAAAAACCAGAAAAAAGAAAAAAAAGGAAAAAAAGAAAUGGUAGUAUAUACUAGUAUAAAAAGGCGGAGGUCAAAAGGGGUUUGACCCGUGCACCCAGGCAGUGAAUGCGAUAGACACUGGCCUGCCUGAGCCUGACAGGCCCAUCCGGUUCGGCCCAUCUUACCUAACACAGCCACGAUGCGCCUCGUGGGCCCCGGAGGUCAGUGACGGACGGACGAGGAGAAUCUGUGGGCCUCGAGUCUGAGGUGGCGUCAGAGCCCACCUGAAACCCGAUGCACUGUUGGCAUGUGCAGCUUGGGGUCCAUGAGUGUUGACCGCCAUGUCGAUCCGUGUUUUUUUUCCCUCUCGCCCAGAUGGAGAGAGGUUUAAUUUUCAGCCGGUUCACACUCGCAACGUCAGUCAGUAACGAGUAAAGCAGGCAGCGAAACGGAUUUGGCAACCACGAAAAACAAGAGCCAUUAAAGAAAUACAUCUUCUUUAUAUGACCUUUUUUUAUUUUAAACUUAUUUGUAUGGUCUUAAAAUAAAAUUUUCUUCCUUUUAUGACCUUCUAUCUAUUUUUUACACCUAACGGUGUUAAGAGUAAAAUAACCAUUUUGCCCCUAGCAAAAAAUGCAGAGUUUUAUUUGUCUACUAUAUAUUUGUAGUAAUAUUGUGCAAAUAAAUUUGAAAAUGUACAUGUAAGUUUAUAGUAAAAUUACACAAAUAUGUUUUAAAAUGUACAAGUUUGUAGUAUUAUUACGCAAAUAAGUUUUAAAAUAUACUCGAGACAAACAAAACUCUGCAUUUUUUUGUUAUGAGUAAAGUGGUUGUUUUACCAUUGACUUAACACCGUCAAGUGCUAGAAAUGGAUGGAAGGCCAUUCAAGAAAGAAAAUUUCGUUUUGGAGCCAUAUAAGUAAGUUCAAAAUAAAAAAAAGUUAUAUAAGGAAGAUGCAUUUUUUCUAGAGUGUAAAUAUCUCGAAAAACAAUGUAACCACAGAGAAACAGAAGGAACUGAAAAGCGGCAGAGAGUAACCACAGCCAUACGUACUCUUGCUAGAUUAUUUUUCGGUUACACGAGCAGUAUCUGUCCCCCUUUUUUUCUUUUGCAGUUUGGCAUGCAUGUGUUGUCGUUUAAGUACGUAGUACGAGCGUGCGAUAUCGAUGUGCUGUAGAGGUAUCACACACAGGCUGGAUUGUGUGGAUCAUGGGUUGACUAGCUAGUACAGUAAUAUUAAAAAGCAGGGACUCUUGUACCAUGAAGCCAAGGCAUAUUCGCAUUCCGCAGUGUAUUCAAAUAGCAGAGACUCUUGUUCCCAAUUGCGUUCCAAGUGGGUGUUAUUAGUAAUAAGAGUGUUAACAACGUUCUACUAACAAGUAUAAGCGGCAGCACACACGCAUGUGAGUAGAUUCUGAAACGCUGUGCGGUUGACCUCUUGGUUGGACGGACGGAUCACGCACGCACCUAACCUGCUGCCCCCUGGAUCACUCUGGAUUGCAUGUUAGGCCGGUAAACACAUGCACAUCCACACUCAUCAGACAGACACACACACUCGCUCUCGUCGCACUGUCAUCAUUCGCUGAAUCAUCUGUUUAUUUAUUAUAUGAAAUCCCUUUGGCUUUUAUUUAUGCGCUGACAACGCGAGACGACGGCGACGCCGACAAGCGACGCAACGCAACCACCGCUAGGGUCCAGGGCGGAGGCCAAGCUUAGGUAGCCCGGCAGCUGUCGGACGGGGGAUCAACGCACGCAGACAACGCCACAGCCUACUACGAGGCGAGCAAAAGUCAGAGCACGCUUUGACCCAUUGCGACCCCGGUACAGGCAGACAACUGUUAGAAAAAAUAAUAAUGCCCCGAACCACAAUCACCAGGUCGUCGCCCCGGCCCGUGCCGUGUCAACGCCCAGCCUAACCGCGGCAAAAGCAGGUCGCACCCCCGCAUCGCGCGACGCGUCGUCCGACCCGCGCGCCGCCCCCGUCGCGUAGCUAGCAGCUAAGCUAGCACGAUCGGUCGGGAUUCCGGUGCUCGCCAGAGCCAGCCGCCACGUAAGUCAAACACGGCCGUCCGAUCCGAUCCGUCCGUUCCGUCCUAAUCAAACCCCUGCGAGACGCGACGCGCGAUGCGAUGCCAUCGGCCACGGGUCAACGUCGCCGAUCGACAUCGCUGUUGGGCUCAGCGUCGUCGUCGUCGAUCGUCUCGGUUCGGUGCACCGUGCGUGCACGUGUUACACAGCACGGUGCGGGGCGGAACGAGCUCUCGAUCGUCGUGUGGCCGCCGUGCUAGCUGCCACAAGUGCCGCGCGCACUAGCGAGGUGCUCGUACGGUGAACCCAGCUGACUGCCGCGGUGCCGCCCGUGGGCGCGCCGGCCGUGCGCAUGCAUGCGUGGGCCGGAACACGUCCGCGCCUCGCCGCCGUGCGUGCGUGUUCCGCACCGCUAGCGCCACCAACCGCGCGACGAUGUAGCCGGGCGGGCCUGAAUUGUUCUCUCUCCGGCCCGCACGGCGCGUCGAGUCGGAUCGGAUCGGAUAUUCGGAUGGGUUUUUGCGUCGUCGAUGGAGGUGCCCUCGGCGGCACGGCAGGGCAGGGCGCGCGGACGCGUUGCCGUCCACGGCGACGACUCCACCACCACCGAGUUGUGUGUUUUUCCGGUGAACGCACCGUGUGGCUUCGUUCUGAGCACGACCGCCGAGUGCAGGACAUGUUGGUGUCAUGGUGUGUGUAUAGGAGUAGAAUGUUAGUGGUUCAGAUGACAGACGUGGAGAGAAAUUACAGCCGACGAAUGAAGGAAGAUAGCACUUUGAAAUUACAAUGUUAGUAUAGUCUGCUUAGUAGAUGGAGAGAGGUAGUAAUUGAUUGCACGCGAUCGAUUGAUAAGCACAAUGAGGCAGGCUGCUGAUUAUUACGCGAUCCGGCCGAUCCAUGCAGGUGCAUGCGUGCAGUGCAGGCUAAUAAUAAUGUAAUCCGGCCACCACCAGCCCACUGCGGCGCUACUAGGCCAUUUUCCCCGUGAGGCCGUGACGAAAGGUGGUCGUCCCCAGGCAGGUUCUCUACCUCUCUCUCUGCCAAGACAAUGCAAGCUGAGAAGAAUUGUUUGCUGAAGCAGGCAGGAGGCAGCAGCAUAAGUAAAAGCUUACUAUGCACUGUAUUAUACUAGUGCAAGUAGCACACGCAGGUCAUCAUGAUGUCCGAUCCAUCCCUGAUUAGUGCAAAUUAGAAUCAAUCAGGAUUCGAUUCAGGCGUGUGUAGUCUGCGUGCUUGCUGGCAGCAAAUGAGUACAGGUUUGACCCCUCCGAUCCCCACCCGGACCAACGACGAUUAUCUUCUCUCUCUCUCUCUCUCUCUCUCUCUCUCUCGAUGGUCAAAGCUUUGUCGAGACGUGGCAGCGACGUUAGGACAAGAGAGAGAGAGAGAGAGAGAGAGCAGCAGCAGUAGCGGUAUGCAAUGCAGUAUUGCAGUGAGACGAGUAGGGCAGAGAGAGCAUGCACAUCACAGCGCAGGAGGACGGACGGUGUCCCUGUCCAGGCUUUUGACUCGGCCUCCGAUCGACUACACGGCCUACUCGAGUCGAUCCUACUGGGAGUGGAGGAGUGAUCGCGUGUGUGGUGUGGAAGAACGAAGGCCAGGCCGGGAUGGGAGAGACCUCUCAUCCAUCAGUGGGCGGCCGCCUUUUUCCGGGCACGCGUGCCAGGCCCCGGGCCCUCAUCACCUCCCUUUUGACGUGACGCGCCUCUUCGCGUUCGCCGUCGCUCUCCGUCGUCGUCGUCGUCGUCUCCGCCCUGCUCAUAAGCAUGACGUCAACGGGUCUAACUUCGUCCCCUGCUUGCCGUCGUCUUGCCCAGCUUCAUCCCUCGAUCGGCUUCCGCCGCCGCCGCAUGCAGUCGAGAAGGUCACGGGUCGUCGCCCCGCGCGCCUAGGCGUGUAGGCCGGCCGCCGUCUCGCGAUUCGUAGCAGAUCUCUUGGCAGGCACGCUAGCUAGCUGCCGUCGCCAGCCCAAGGCAAUGUACGUACUCGCCGUGUCGACACGACACGAGCAGCUUCGAUCGGCUGCCGCUACGUACGUGCUAGCGCGCGCGUAUUUCCGCUAGUUUCCACUUUUAUUAAUUAAUUUACCUGUGACUAUAUAAUUAUCCCGCUGUUGAUGGCCAUGAUGCUGCACGCUGCAGAUUUAGUUCGCUAGGCCAGGCGUAUCUGGCAGCUGCUGGACGUUUUUUUCGACGGCCAAAGAAAACGAUCGAGAGGAAUACAGAAUACGUACAGAUAUACGGUGGCUGCAUGCAGGUCCAUCGCGUCGCCUGGACUGGGGAUCGCAAAGGGAAUAUAGGUAGACGGAGAAAAUUCCAAAAAGAAAAGGGCAGAUCGGAUCAUAACAUAACAGCCAUGCCAAAGCCAAAUCAUGGGGGUGCCUAACGCGAUUUCUUUCUUUCAGCCCUCAUCGGUACGUUCUUCCAUCACAUCAACUUUACCAAACGAUGCCGAUAUAUUUGUGUCCCUAACAUAACUAUAUCUAAUUUUUUUUUUCGAGAUCAGGCCAAGCAGCUCCAAAACCCUCACACAUCUGUCAUGCAUUUUUAACGUCUGUUUCAGGUAAAAUUGCUAAUCGAUCAGAUCGAUAACAAUAAUAAUAUUACGCCGAAAGCCUCUGACUUUUCGAAUUAAAUCCAUCUCCCCGUACAUGUAUACGCAUGCAUGCUCCCUGCCUCCUUACCUUAUACUAUGAGUCUUAUAAAAACAAACCAAACUGUGAACCAUGCAUCAUUGUGUGUUCAUUCUGCCACGUACGCUCAAAUACAUAAUCAUUAAUUUAGCUACAGCAAACAUCAUGCUAUUUUUUUUUUUACAAAAACAUCAUGCUACAAUGACAGGCGUGCUAUAAAAUACGAUUUGGUCUGUGCAGCCCAUGGGCACCUGCGUAAUUUCACAUGUCACGAUAGCGAUGCCGACUUCAGCUUCUUGUGGUCGGAAAUUUUUAACAGUAAAAUAAAGGUGAUGUCGAGGAUUUAAAACGAUUAUCGCUGAGAAAGUAAUGCCCUAGCAGCUAGGGUUAUACAUAGAAAAAUCAGCCGGGGAGGAAGAAUAUUGCACACGCACAGACGCAAACAAGACUUCUGUGUGUACAAGAAUUAGGUGCAGCAGCAGCAGCAGCGCUGCUGUGAGCUGCUAACUCUAGUUCAGUACUAGCCCUUUUUGGUUAGGUAGUGAAUGAAAUCAUCAAACAUUCCAUCUUAUUGGUGUAAUUUAUUUGCUUACGUUGCUAUCACCCAAGACUAGCUAGCUAGCUUUAUUUCGGAUCGGAGGUCAAAGGCAUGCAUGCCUUUGAGAUUACUUAGAACUUAUUCGACAGUAUUGUAUUCUUUUGUAUUUGUUUUUUUAAAUUAAAAAGAAAGCUAUUAUACAUGCAUUAUUUAUUAUACUGAUUCGACGCAACAUCUAUGUCCUGAUUCUUAUGUGUGAAAAACAUGGGAGCAUAACUCAAUUGCUCAUCAAGACCUGUUCCUCUCUAUAUAUCCAGUUCCAAUAUAAAUGGGACAAUCUUCAACAGAAAAAUGUAAUUGGUCACUAAAAAGAUGCGCUGACUGGAGCAUGCUGCAUGCAGGAGAACGGACAUAAAAAAUA